This 578-nucleotide ribosomal RNA is filed under the name Trigonopterus echinus. Its description in RNAcentral is "SSU rRNA". It matches the Rfam family "Eukaryotic small subunit ribosomal RNA", at positions 23 to 579 of the family's 1831-position model. Lineage: Eukaryota; Metazoa; Arthropoda; Insecta; Coleoptera; Curculionidae. The record is from RNAcentral.
GUCAUAUGCUUGUCUCAAAGAUUAAGCCAUGCAUGUCUCAGUACAAGCCAAAUUAAGGUGAAACCGCGAAAGGCUCAUUAAAUCAGUUAUGGUUCCUUAGAUCGUACCCACAAUUACUUGGAUAACUGUGGUAAUUCUAGAGCUAAUACAUGCAAACAGAGCUCCGACCGGAGACGGAAGGAGCGCUUUUAUUAGAUCAAAACCAAUCGGUGGCGAGCUUGCUCGUCAUCGUACAACUUGGUGACUCUGAAUAACUUUACGCUGAUCGCACGGUCGUCGCACCGGCGACGCAUCUUUCAAAUGUCUGCCUUAUCAACUGUCGAUGGUAGGUUCUGCGCCUACCAUGGUUGUAACGGGUAACGGGGAAUCAGGGUUCGAUUCCGGAGAGGGAGCCUGAGAAACGGCUACCACAUCCAAGGAAGGCAGCAGGCGCGCAAAUUACCCACUCCCGGCACGGGGAGGUAGUGACGAAAAAUAACGAUACGGGACUCAUCCGAGGCCCCGUAAUCGGAAUGAGUACACUCUAAACCCUUUAACGAGGAUCAAUUGGAGGGCAAGUCUGGUGCCAGCAGCCGCGG